Molecule: long non-coding RNA, 634 nt
Filed under: Nicotiana tabacum (common tobacco)
Lineage: Eukaryota; Viridiplantae; Streptophyta; Magnoliopsida; Solanales; Solanaceae
Description: long non-coding RNA (NTAB_LNC010827)
Source: RNAcentral
AAAUAUGUGGAACAUAUGUGCAUAACCUCCAGUUCAACAGGAAUAAUCUUCAAAAAUAGAUGAACUAUCAUGGAAUUGACUUCAUGGAGUAUAUCAUCAGAAUCAUAUAUUUCAUCAGGACUAUCUGUUUCAUGAGGUUCAGCUGUUUCAUCUAUUUCAUCAGAAUCAUAUAUUUCAUCAGGAUCAUCUGUUUCAUGAGGUUCAGCUGUUUCAUCAGAAUCAUAUAUUUCAUCUGAAUCAUCUGCUUCAUCUAUUUCAUCAGAAUCAUAUAUUUCAUCAGGAUCAUCUGUUUCAUGAGGUUCAGCUGUUUCAUCAGAAUCAUAUAUUUCAUCUGAAUCAUCUGCUUCAUCUAUUUCAUCAAGUUGACAAGACAAAAGGUCAAAACAGAAGUGCCCUACUCUCUCAGCCAUAAGUUGAAACUGAGGUAAGACAUAUUCAACUGUCUCAUGCUCAACAUAACCAUUUACUUUCAGCACAAGAAAAUCUCUUAAAUUUCCACAUAUAUCCCGGAGAAGCUCAUAUUGAGUCAUUAAUGGCAAAAUCAGCUUGGCACAACACUUGGGUAGAUCAUGGAGAUUCACAAGGAGGGCGUCUAAAAGUUCAACCAACUGCGCCUCAGUCAUGGUGGCACUUG